UCCCAAAGAGUAACGGAGGAGCACGAAGGUUAGCUAAUCCUGGUCGGACAUCAGGAGGUUAGUGCAAUGGCAUAAGCUAGCUUGACUGCGAGCGUGACGGCGCGAGCAGGUGCGAAAGCAGGUCAUAGUGAUCCGGUGGUUCUGAAUGGAAGGGCCAUCGCUCAACGGAUAAAAGGUACUCCGGGGAUAACAGGCUGAUACCGCCCAAGAGUUCAUAUCGACGGCGGUGUUUGGCACCUCGAUGUCGGCUCAUCACAUCCUGGGGCUGAAGUAGGUCCCAAGGGUAUGGCUGUUCGCCAUUUAAAGUGGUACGCGAGCUGGGUUUAGAACGUCGUGAGACAGUUCGGUCCCUAUCUGCCGUGGGCGCUGGAGAAUUGAGGGGGGCUGCUCCUAGUACGAGAGGACCGGAGUGGACGCAUCACUGGUGUUCGGGUUGUCAUGCCAAUGGCAUUGCCCGGUAGCUAAAUGCGGAAGAGAUAAGUGCUGAAAGCAUCUAAGCACGAAACUUGCCCCGAGAUGAGUUCUCCCUGAGACUUUAAGUCUCCUGAAGGAACGUUAAAGACGAUGACGUUGAUAGGUCGGGUGUGUAAGCGUAGCGAUACGUUGAGCUAACCGAUACUAAUGAACCGUGAGGCUUAACCUU
Molecule: ribosomal RNA, 643 nt
Filed under: Klebsiella aerogenes
Lineage: Bacteria; Pseudomonadati; Pseudomonadota; Gammaproteobacteria; Enterobacterales; Enterobacteriaceae
Description: partial 23S ribosomal RNA
Rfam family: Bacterial large subunit ribosomal RNA
Source: RNAcentral